ACAUUGUGUGGAAAUGCCUUACACAGAGAGGGAUAUUUGGCAAAACGGGAUCUUCAGACCAUCCUUUGCCCUCCUUGGAUGCACCAAAGAAGACAUCACCUACUCCGAUGCUUUAAAUAAUGACAUGUAUGUCUGGAAAAGGCUCAAUUUAGUCUGCAGUAUUCAAGGCACCAAUAGUGCUAGAAUCUUUAGCACGUAUGCUUGUGAAGAAGGCUUUGCCUUUGGUAAGCUAGUUGGGUGUCUGUGACUAUAGGAUACUGAUUUCAAACCAAUAUCCAAAUUUGAUCUCAGGGAGACAGAACAAGGAUAUAAA
This 313-nucleotide long non-coding RNA is filed under the name Homo sapiens (human). Its description in RNAcentral is "non-protein coding lnc-IGFBP7-10:1". The record is from RNAcentral. Lineage: Eukaryota; Metazoa; Chordata; Mammalia; Primates; Hominidae.